GGUCGGGAAAACCGUUGGAAACGACGGCUAAUACCGGAUGUGGCGCCCGGCGACAUCGCCGGAGCGCUAAAGGGGGCCGCAAGGCUCUCGCUCGUAGAGGGGCUCGCGCAACCAUCAGCUUGUUGGCGGGUAACGGCCCACCAAGGCCUACGGUUAGCUGGUCUGAGAGGAUGACCCAGCCCCACUGGGACUGAGAUACUGCCCAGACUCCUACGGGAGGCUGCAGUCGAGGAUCAUUUGCAAUGGGCGAAAGCCUGACAAUGCGACGGCUGCGUGGAAGGAUGAAGGCCUUCGGGUUGUAAACUCCUGUCAUGGGGGAACAGGCGAGGAAACCUAAUACGUUUCUUAGUUGAGUGUACCCCAAGAGGAAUUGGCGGCUAACCUCUGUGCCAGCAGCCGC
Molecule: ribosomal RNA, 400 nt
Filed under: uncultured bacterium
Lineage: Bacteria
Description: bacterial SSU rRNA
Rfam family: Bacterial small subunit ribosomal RNA
Source: RNAcentral